AUGCAAGUCGAGCGGGGGAAGGUAGCUUGCUACCGGACCUAGCGGCGGACGGGUGAGUAAUGCUUAGGAAUCUGCCUAUUAGUGGGGGACAACAUCUCGAAAGGGAUGCUAAUACCGCAUACGUCCUACGGGAGAAAGCAGGGGAUCUUCGGACCUUGCGCUAAUAGAUGAGCCUAAGUCGGAUUAGCUAGUUGGUGGGGUAAAGGCCUACCAAGGCGACGAUCUGUAGCGGGUCUGAGAGGAUGAUCCGCCACACUGGGACUGAGACACGGCCCAGACUCCUACGGGAGGCAGCAGUGGGGAAUAUUGGACAAUGGGGGGAACCCUGAUCCAGCCAUGCCGCGUGUGUGAAGAAGGCCUUAUGGUUGUAAAGCACUUUAAGCGAGGAGGAGGCUACUUUAGUUAAUACCUAGAGAUAGUGGACGUUACUCGCAGAAUAAGCACCGGCUAACUCUGUGCCAGCAGCCGCGGUAAUACAGAGGGUGCGAGCGUUAAUCGGAUUUACUGGGCGUAAAGCGUGCGUAGGCGGCUUAUUAAGUCGGAUGUGAAAUCCCCGAGCUUAACUUGG
Molecule: ribosomal RNA, 568 nt
Filed under: Acinetobacter baumannii OIFC143
Lineage: Bacteria; Pseudomonadati; Pseudomonadota; Gammaproteobacteria; Moraxellales; Moraxellaceae
Description: bacterial SSU rRNA
Rfam family: Bacterial small subunit ribosomal RNA
Source: RNAcentral